RNAcentral lists this small nuclear RNA (61 nucleotides) under Sorex araneus (European shrew). RNAcentral describes it as "U7 small nuclear RNA (ENSSARG00000020045.1)". The record is from RNAcentral. Lineage: Eukaryota; Metazoa; Chordata; Mammalia; Eulipotyphla; Soricidae.
CAGUUAACAGCUCUUUUAGAAUAUAUUCACCAGGUUUCCCAGUUGCUACCAGAAAGCCCCA